Molecule: long non-coding RNA, 1224 nt
Filed under: Homo sapiens (human)
Lineage: Eukaryota; Metazoa; Chordata; Mammalia; Primates; Hominidae
Description: non-protein coding lnc-C16orf72-11:1
Source: RNAcentral
UUAAGACAGUGUGGAGCUUUUAAAAAAAAUUAAUUGUAGCCAAACGCAUUUCUAACCAAUACAUUUUUUCUCAUCAGGUAUUAACAGAGCCAAUUAGCAUUCUUCCCCGGAAUUGAUGUAUAGGAAAGAUACUGUGAGAAAGAUACUCUUGCUUUUGGCUCUAAAUACAAAGUAGGGUGUAAAGUUGGAGGUGCUGAGAGUUAUCUUUUUUCCCGUCAUGUAGAAAAGGCCUGUUUGUAGUGGAAGAUAUGAAGCCAAGGAGGGAAAAGGGAGGUGAGAAAUAUAUGGGGGGGAGAGAGAGAGAGAGAAGAGAGGGAGAGAAGGUGGGGGAGGGAGGGAGAAAGUGGGAGUGAGAGAGAAGGAAAGAGAGAGAGGGGGAGAGAGGAAAAAAGAGGGAGCGAGAGAGGAGAGAGAAAGAGAGGGAGAGAAAGUGAGGGAGAGACAGUGAGGGGGGAGAGGGAGGGGGAAGGGGAAUGAGAGAGAGAGGGAGACAGAAAGAGGGAGAGAGGGGGAAAAGGGGAGAGAGAGAGGGAGAGAGAGAAAGCACAGGGAGAGAGAAAAAGAGAGACGGUGAGAGAGGGAGAGGGGGAGAGAGAGGAGGAAGAGGGGGAAGAGAAAGAGGGAGAGAGAGAGAAGAGAGAAGGAUGAGAAAUGUAUUUUGGCAGUGUCGAGUGCCAGUUCAACUGCUUGGGGACAUUAUCCCUGUAACCCAUCCUUUCAAUGCUAUAUACUCCUUCAGUAUCAUUUUCAAAGCGUGUGAGCCAAUACAUUCCACUCCCCCUUAGCAUGGCUUAAGUUCAGUUUCUGUUCCGAUUUCUCUUGCAGAUUUCCCUAUACAUUUUAAGGGUGAAUGGACACUGGCUCCCACACUGCUUUCUGGGAGGAUCUGUUCUAACUUGGAAAAGGAUCUUGUAUGGCCUGGAACAAGGCAGAAUUAGUGGCUUUUUACUCAUCUUCUGGGUGUUCAGCUCCUCUCUGUCAGGGCUGGAGACUGCAGGACAGAAUGUAACAGCUGGAUAGAGUCUGGUAAGGGCAUUUUAUAUAAGCCUUGCUGGAUGUAACAAGGGCCCCAUUCAUAUUUCUCCUCUUUUACUCAGUAACUUUAAUUCUUCAUUUUUAUCCUGAAAAUAGCACAAUAGGGAGUGAAGAUUUUCUCCUAAAGAUACAGAGCCAGGCUGUCUCACAAUGGUCAAUGGGAAACAGCCCAGAGAUGCAUAAUCUGAA